This 526-nucleotide long non-coding RNA is filed under the name Lathyrus oleraceus (garden pea). RNAcentral's name for it is "Pisum sativum (pea) long non-coding RNA (PSAT_LNC021466)". Lineage: Eukaryota; Viridiplantae; Streptophyta; Magnoliopsida; Fabales; Fabaceae. The record is from RNAcentral.
AAAAACCAAGCAAAAAAUUAGAAAAAAGCACAAAAGAUUACCUCGCCGGGAUCUGGAAUUCUUGCCGGAAAAAUCAUAAGGUCUCGGAAAAUUCAAGCAACCUUGCCAGAAAACUCAUAAGGUCACUGGAAAAUUCAAGCAACCUCUCAGGAAUCUGGAAUUUCCAAAAUUCUAAUUUGGUACUUUUUCUUAUUUUUUUUUGUUUUAAAUUUUUUUUCUCGAUCAUUUCGAUGUUGCACUUGUUUUUUUCGUUUCCCCCAUGAAAUUGUUGUUGUUUGUGCUUGAUUUCUGUGGAUUUGAGCUUUAGGGUUUGUGUAUUCAUGAAUACUUAUGAACAUUUUUCCAGAUCUAUGUUUUUUGUUAGGUUUUGUUAUAAUUAUUAGUUUCUGAUGGUGAGAGAGCGUGAGUUUAACAAAGAUUUGUUAUUUUUUAUUUCAGAUUAAUGAUGAAUGAAUAUGAUAUUAGGAGAGAAGAAGAGGUUCAGUGUUGUUGUUAUGGUGUUAACGAGAUGGGAGUUUGAGCUAGG